RNAcentral lists this signal recognition particle RNA (264 nucleotides) under Candidatus Atribacteria bacterium. Its description in RNAcentral is "signal recognition particle sRNA large type". It matches the Rfam family "Bacterial large signal recognition particle RNA". From Rfam's summary of the family: The signal recognition particle (SRP) is a universally conserved ribonucleoprotein involved in the co-translational targeting of proteins to membranes. Archaeal SRP consists of a 7S RNA and homologues of the eukaryotic SRP19 and SRP54 proteins. In most bacteria, the SRP consists of a 4.5S RNA and the Ffh protein (a homologue of the eukaryotic SRP54 protein). Lineage: Bacteria; Pseudomonadati; Atribacterota; Atribacteria. The record is from RNAcentral.
CCGUGCUAGACGGGGAGUUAGCGGUGCCCUGAACCUGCAAUCCGCUAGAGCAGGGUUGAAUGCCUAUUUGAGGUCUUAUCUCUUCAAGGUCUGACUGAAAUAAGUGGCGAUGAAGAUUGGGUCCUAUGCAGCAAAGAAUUACCAAUCCCGUCAGGUCCGGAAGGAAGCAGCGGUAAGUAAACCUCUUUGGGUGCCGUAGGGAAGCCUGGUUGGAGCUAACUGUUUCAAUAUCGCUUGGGGAGGUAGAUCGAGAAUGGGGCACGG